Molecule: ribosomal RNA, 342 nt
Filed under: uncultured bacterium
Lineage: Bacteria
Description: bacterial SSU rRNA
Rfam family: Bacterial small subunit ribosomal RNA
Source: RNAcentral
AGAGUUUGAUCAUGGCUCAGGAUGAACGCUAGCUACAGGCUUAACACAUGCAAGUCGAGGGGCAGCAUGUUGGUUGCUUGCAACCAACGAUGGCGACCGGCGCACGGGUGAGUAACGCGUAUCCAACCUACCCUUGUCCAUCGGAUAACCCGUCGAAAGGCGGCCUAACACGAUAUGCGGUUCACAGCAGGCAUCUAACGUGAACGAAAUGUAAAGGAGAAGGAUGGGGAUGCGUCUGAUUAGCUUGUUGGCGGGGUAACGGCCACCAAGGCUACGAUCAGUAGGGGUUCUGAGAGGAAGGUCCCCACAUUGGAACUGAGACACGGUCAAACUCACGGAGCA